This 468-nucleotide ribosomal RNA is filed under the name uncultured bacterium. RNAcentral's name for it is "partial 16S ribosomal RNA". It matches the Rfam family "Bacterial small subunit ribosomal RNA", at positions 28 to 507 of the family's 1533-position model. The record is from RNAcentral.
GACGAACGCUGGCGGCGUGCUUAACACAUGCAAGUCGAACGGAAAGGCCCUGCUUUUGUGGGGUGCUCGAGUGGCGAACGGGUGAGUAACACGUGAGUAACCUGCCCUUGACUUUGGGAUAACUUCAGGAAACUGGGGCUAAUACCGGAUAGGAGCUCCUGCUGCAUGGUGGGGGUGGGAAAGUUUCGGCGGUGGGGGAUGGACUCGCGGCUUAUCAGCUUGUUGGUGGGGUAGUGGCUUACCAAGGCUUUGACGGGUAGCCGGCCUGAGAGGGUGACCGGCCACAUUGGGACUGAGAUACGGCCCAGACUCCUACGGGAGGCAGCAGUGGGGAAUAUUGCACAAUGGGCGGAAGCCUGAUGCAGCAACGCCGCGUGCGGGAUGACGGCCUUCGGGUUGUAAACCGCUUUCGCCUGUGACGAAGCGUGAGUGACGGUAAUGGGUAAAGAAGCACCGGCUAACUACGUG